RNAcentral lists this ribosomal RNA (301 nucleotides) under uncultured bacterium. Its description in RNAcentral is "partial 16S ribosomal RNA". It matches the Rfam family "Bacterial small subunit ribosomal RNA", at positions 509 to 807 of the family's 1533-position model. The record is from RNAcentral.
CAGCAGCCGCGGUAAUACGGAGGGGGCUAGCGUUGUUCGGAACUACUGGGCGUAAGGCGCACGUAGGCGGCUUUGCAAGUCAGAGGUGAAAGCCCGGGGCUCAACCCCGGAAUUGCCUUUGAGACUGCAGGGCUAGCAGGUGAGAGAGGUGAGUGGAAUUCCGAGUGUAGAGGUGAAAUUCGUAGAUAUUCGGAAGAACACCAGUGGCGAAGGCGGCUCACUGGCUCAUACUGGACGCUGAGGUGCGAAAGCGUGGGGAGCAAACAGGAUUAGAUACCCCCGUAGUCCCUGUCUCUUAUAC